UCAGGGGCCACAGGCUGUGACAAAGCCCAAUUCCUGAGUCCUCCCUCGAAAAGGGGCGGGGAUAACCACCGGCUCAGGUGAGCUCAGAUUCCCCUUUCUAUAUCUCCAAGACAGAAGAACAGCAAAAUAUCCCUGGUCGAUCCUCGGAGGAUGCGAGAGCCAAGAGGAGCAGGCCCUGACCCUGACCCGACCCCACCGGUCCCUUCCGAGAACCCUCACCAUGUGUACCGUAACCCUGAGGAUCCAAUCUUGCACACCCUGGACUCCAGAGAGCCUCCACGGGUGAUUCGUGACCUGGCAGGUGCAGGUCCUGUUGGGUCCGAGUUCUCCAAGUGAACAUCAUGUGACUCAGCGCGCCCCUUUCUCUUGUGAUGUCCACUGUCCUGGGGUCGCAUCACUGCGUUCAGGUUUGCAGUCUUGAUUUUUCAGGAUUAAGUCCCUUACUUAACCACAUCUGGCUCCUGGGUGGAAGAUUGCAGCCGUCACACGUGCACCGAGGGUGGGAGUAGAGGUGUGGGGGGGAGGUCAGGGUACAGGGACCGCUCAGCAGGUUUCAGACAAGGUGAUCCGCUAAGAGUGACUCUGGAACCCUUUCCAGGUUACAUGCCUUGUGGGCCGCAGGGACCCCGGUCCGAUAAGCCCUCAAGCAACAAUCCACUGACCUGGCCCGACCUUCUCCACUGACACAGCCCUUUCCUAGAGACCUCCUUUUCUGGGGAGUCAAAUGCUCUGAGCCACAUGCCUACCUUUCGCCCCCAGACUCAACCCAGGAGAGGACAUUCUCUCACACUCCACUGCCCCACCCCUGUGAACCCUUGAGCCACCUCCUGUUGCCUCAUCUCCCCUCCUGCCCAGUGACCUCGGGGUCAGAAACUCCCUUGGGUGUUUUUGGGCUUCCACUUCUCUGGCUUCUUCACAUCCUGUAACGCUGCGGGUCGUGUUGCUUUCUAGAAAGUUCUCCCUGUAGGUGGCUUUCGGAAUGGAUAUCUACAUUCUCUAGCUUUCGUGGAGAUACCUCCCUCCACAUUUCCAGUCCCCAGACCAGUCCUCCGAGGCCCAAGUCUCCUAUGCCUGUGUCUCUUCCUCAUACCUGCAGAGUGUCUAGUAAAGGAACCAAGGCCCCUUUCUGGAAGCCA
Grammomys surdaster is the source of this 1136-nucleotide long non-coding RNA. RefSeq lists it as uncharacterized. The record is from RefSeq and is a predicted model, not a curated record. NCBI's taxonomy places the organism in Eukaryota, Metazoa, Chordata, Mammalia, Rodentia, Muridae. The transcript is spliced from 2 exons.